This 497-nucleotide ribosomal RNA is filed under the name uncultured bacterium. Its description in RNAcentral is "partial 16S ribosomal RNA". It matches the Rfam family "Bacterial small subunit ribosomal RNA", at positions 28 to 507 of the family's 1533-position model. The record is from RNAcentral.
GACGAACGCUGGCGGCGUGCCUAAUACAUGCAAGUAGAACGCUGAAGGAAGGAGCUUGCUCUUUCUGGAUGAGUUGCGAACGGGUGAGUAACGCGUAGGUAACCUGCCUGGUAGCGGGGGAUAACUAUUGGAAACGAUAGCUAAUACCGCAUAAAAUUGAUUAUUGCAUGAUAGUCAAUUAAAAGGUGCAACUGCACCACUACCAGAUGGACCUUCGUUGUAUUAGCUAGUUGGUGGGGUAACGGCUCACCGAGGCGUCGAUACAUAGCCGACCUGACAGGGUGGUCGGCCACACUGGGACUGAGACACGGCCCAGACGCCUACGGGAGGCAGCAGUAGGGAAUCUUCGGCAAUGGACGGAAGUCUGACCGAGCAACGCCGCGGGAGUGAAGAAGGUUUUCGGAUCGUAAAGCUCUGUUGUAAGAGAAGAACGAGUGUGAGAGUGGAAAGUUCACACUGUGACGGUAUCUUACCAGAAAGGGACGGCUAACUACGUG